UUCCCUCCCUUCUCCCUCCUCUCCUUCAUCCUCCCUUCAUCUUUUUCCUCCCCACUCUCUUGUGAAACUCUGUGUCACCCAUAGGGAGGCAGGUGUGACCGGGACAAACACCUGUGGUUUUCGUCUUUGAAAUCUGGCUUCAAGAUGCCACAGGCAUAGAAGCCAACAGGCGGGAGUUCGACCAACCAGGAGUUAGAUGUGUGCUGACUACCAGGGGGUGGCACAGAACACGGCGGGUGCUGGUGAUGUGGCGCUGGCAGCGGCUGGCAGUGUGGGCGCUGCCGGCCCCGAUGGGACCAUGGUGGGAUGGUGGAGCAGAUGGCUGGAGAUUGCGCCCACGUUUACUUGAGAGUCACUGAAGCUGCUUGAAUCCUUUGUUUCCCAUUGAUUGGGAAGCGAAAGACUCAGGGAAGCAAAGUUUCCUCUGUUGCUGAAUGCCAUAUGCAGAUGAGUGUAUUGCUGAUUAAAUGAGUCCCAGGAUCUGAAGACUUUUUCCAAGUCCUAUAGCAGAAGGACUUAGAGUCAUGGCACAGGGUCCAAUUUGCCCUCAGUCUUCAUUCACCCCAUUGUGCUGGGGCUGAUGUGGGUUCUUUAAGUCACACAUCCAAGAAUUCAGGAAUAAUAAAGAGAAACAGCAUCAACAAAGGCAGACGUUGCUGUGUUGUUUCUUAGGUGGGAAAUACCACGUGGACAUCAGAAGUAAACAAUGCCCUCCACCGGUCUGGUCUUUAUCGGUCCUGACCGGUUCCACUUUCUCUAGACCCAAGGUUCUGACCUUUGGCACUGCUGACACCCACUGAAUCAUUCUUCAUGGUGGGGGGCUGUCCCCGCACUGGAGUGUUUACCAGCAUCCUUGGCCCUACCCACUAGAUGCCAGCAGCAUCUCCUGCAUCGUCAUGCUAAGCAAAAACUGUCCCAGCGCUGCCAGUGUCCCCUGGAAAGGGGGUGGGGGGCCUCUGGUUGAGAACCACUCUUACAGGUCAUCCUACCCACAAGAUCCUGUAUGAAGACAGAAGAUUAAUUCUGUGUUCAGCCAGUAAUUGUGAAUAUGACUGGUUACAAAGCAGUUAUUCUAAUCAGAAUUCAUAGAGUUAGAACUGAAAAUAUGAGAGAAAGAGAAUGAGUCAACAAGGACUUAGAGCUAAAUUAAUAGGCAGCCCUUCAUUUUAUAGGUGAGGACCACAGUGGAAAGUGCUUUCCAAGAAACACAAUUAGAUGGUGAGCGAAGACUUGUUAUUUCUAUUUUUUUUUCUUAUUAUCUUAAGCAGUGCCUGGUUUCACUCACCUAUCAUCAUGAUACCAUUGUAAUUGGCUGGUUAUUAAUAAUAGGAAAGGAGCAUAAAGGAGGCCGGUGAUUAUAAGCAUGGCCAUCUGGGCAGCUUCACCAGGAAGCUGCAAUUUCAGUCCCCAGGGAACCACCAGCCCAUCCCCUGCCGAUCACUGGGGCAAGAGACUGGACAAAGGGGAGAUUGGACACAUGCACAGUGAAGUUGGGUUGACGUAGGGGAGGUACUUGUCAAUCAAAUCUGGGAACAAAAAUCACUGGCUAGAAGAGGUGCAGCCAAUGCAAGCCACUGAAAAUUUGGGGAUACAUAAUCCCCCAAACAAAGGAGCUGGCGCUCUUGGCUAAUGGGGCUCUCUUGUUCUUGCUUUCUUGCACUCAUCUGUUUCCUACUCAGCCAUGUGGCCUUGCGGACCCCACAUGCAAUGGGCUGAUGGAUUGCAACGGGGAACACAAACUGAGCUAGCCCGAUGCUGGAUUGGAUUGUUCCAACAUGGACCGGAGGCUCAGGACACGGGUUUUAGUCUUGCUAAAGGCAAAAUGGGACUUCUUCCUUUGGGGGGACUGACAGAAAUUGGACCUUGGAAACUUGGAGGUUUGCACCCAUGGAAAUAAAGUUUUCUACAAUGUUUUGUUCUCCUAAGCAAGUCUCAAAACAUUAUUUUUCUCGGGAUAUCACAAGAAUUCCACUCCCCUGAGUGGCAGGUGGGGGUGAAGACCUCUCUCCACUAAUAACGAUAGAGCCCUCCUGCUGGCAGCGUCCAUGAAUCAUUCUUCAUCGUGGGGGCCUGUUCUGUGCUCUGUGUGCUGGGGUGUUCACUAAU
Myotis daubentonii (Daubenton's bat) is the source of this 2106-nucleotide long non-coding RNA. RefSeq lists it as uncharacterized. NCBI's taxonomy places the organism in Eukaryota, Metazoa, Chordata, Mammalia, Chiroptera, Vespertilionidae. The record is from RefSeq and is a predicted model, not a curated record. The transcript is spliced from 3 exons.